UGCGUAGGCGGGUCUUUAGGUCAGGGGUGAAAUCCUGGAGCUCAACUCCAGAACUGCCUUUGAUACUGAAGAUCUUGAGUUCGGGAGAGGUGAGUGGAACUGCGAGUGUAGAGGUGAAAUUCGUAGAUAUUCGCAAGAACACCAGUGGCGAAGGCGGCUCACUGGCCCGAUACUGACGCUGAGGCAAGACUGGGGAGGCAAACA
RNAcentral lists this ribosomal RNA (204 nucleotides) under uncultured bacterium. RNAcentral's name for it is "partial 16S ribosomal RNA". It matches the Rfam family "Bacterial small subunit ribosomal RNA", at positions 568 to 774 of the family's 1533-position model. The record is from RNAcentral.